This is a long non-coding RNA of Passer domesticus (house sparrow), 719 nucleotides long. RefSeq lists it as uncharacterized. Lineage: Eukaryota; Metazoa; Chordata; Aves; Passeriformes; Passeridae. The transcript is spliced from 3 exons. The record is from RefSeq and is a predicted model, not a curated record.
UUCCAAGCCCAACCAUUCAGGGACUCCAUCAUUCCAUGGUCUCCAGUGUCCACUUCAGAUGGAGCCUGGGAACUGUGAUGUCACAGCCCACGCUCCAGCUGGAACAUCCAGUGCCCAGCAAAGGGCACAACACAACCGUUGUUCGUUGUGUUCACAUGCUCUUCACCCUGCUCCUGCCCACUCUGCUUUUCACCUGCCCCCUGAUAACCCAUUCAGUCCUGAAAGGUCCUUAGUGCCUGGAUUUUGUCAUCCAGCCCUGCAGGAUGCUCCUCUUUGUUCUGAGGAAGGCUGUCCCAGACAGAGAGGAGGACAUGGAGGUGGAUACCAAGAUUGAUACGGAGGAGGAGAUGGAAAUAGACGGAGAAGACGCUGGAGAGGAAGAGAUGGAUGUGGAUGUGGAUGAGGAAGAAGAGAUGGAUGUGGAUAUAGAAGAGUCCAUUGAGGACAUGGAUAUUGAUUAAAAAGGUGCGAUGGACAGCACAGACAGAGACACCAACCUUUGUAUAUAUGUUCUACAGUUUGUUGUUGUUCUUUAGAAUGUAGAUUUUAGGGCUAUUUUUGACUUCUGUAAAUACGUUUCACAUAUUUUUGUUAGGUAGGUUUUUAUGUAUAUAUGUUCUAUCGAUUGUUGUUGUUACAAAUGUUCUUACAAUGUAAAUAUGUUCAGUAUUUUUGCUGCUGUUCUUCUGUAAUAAACAAAUUUUAUUUUUCACACCCCA